This is a long non-coding RNA of Paramisgurnus dabryanus, 284 nucleotides long. RefSeq lists it as uncharacterized. Lineage: Eukaryota; Metazoa; Chordata; Actinopteri; Cypriniformes; Cobitidae. The record is from RefSeq and is a predicted model, not a curated record.
GCCAAUCAAGAGAUGAUCAACAGUAUUUCACCGGAUUAUUACAAGAGGCUGAAAAGAACAGCCGUGUAGUAAUCUUUAAAACACGCCAGCACAACAUUUUUGUGAAUGCAGAAAAAGACAGAACUCCAGUCAAAUUAUGUAACAUCAGCUUUUCACCAUCUCGACAAAUUAAAGGAGACAUGGACAUAAUGGUCAAUAACAGUUCAUCAUUAAAAUGUGUCCGUCGGCUGUCAUUUGCCUUUGAAGAAAAGCUGCAGGAGACCAUUCAACACCAGAAACUGAAA